Molecule: non-coding RNA, 73 nt
Organism: Blastocladiella emersonii ATCC 22665
Lineage: Eukaryota; Fungi; Blastocladiomycota; Blastocladiomycetes; Blastocladiales; Blastocladiaceae
Source: the annotation of a GenBank genome assembly
GCCUGCCUGGCGCAAUGGUUAGCGCUUUGGACUUCUAAUCCAAGGGUUGCGGGUUCGAGUCCCGCGGUGGGUG